RNAcentral lists this small RNA (141 nucleotides) under Carnobacterium sp. The record is from RNAcentral. Lineage: Bacteria; Bacillati; Bacillota; Bacilli; Lactobacillales; Carnobacteriaceae.
GCUAAAAUUGAAUAAGCUAUUGAAAACUGGAAGUUGGUGAAAAUCCAACACGGUCCCGCCACUGUAAAAAGCAGCCGCUUUGAGUCAGGUCUUUUUUCAAUUGCUUUUGAACCGACUGUUUCGAGGCAGAACAGACGGGUG